UUGUUCCAACAAUGGAGAAACAUCCGCUCCUUCACAAGUAUUCAGAAGUCUCUUUUCUCCGAACUUGAAUUCAAGACCCGCUCAUUAACUUCAUCUUCUCAGCUGGGUGUGCAAUUUUAGGUGGAAGAGGUGUUGUCCAUGGUUAACAUAUCCAGAUCCCCGGUCAUGUUUGUGGGAUGUGGUUAAUCGCACACACGGCAAAUUCAGUUUAGUUUUUCUCCCAAUUUUUUCUUAAUCUUCUCCUGGUUCUGUCAUAUUUUCCAAUUUAUGAGUUAAGUUCAAGUCUACUAUUGUUAUUGUUCUGCCUUAACUCUCUCUUUGAUGUUCUGCCACAUUCAUUGCUUUUUCUCGAAAUAGAGAAAUUGAAUAAUGGAAUCGAAAAUUAAUAGUUUCUUCAAUUCUUUUUCUUUUAUCCCCAAAAGUGUAGACUCAUCUAAAUUUUGCAGUGAUGAAUUCAACUAUAAGAGGGUAUGGAAAUAUGUUUUGCUUACAUACCAACGAAGACCUCGAAAUUCAUCUGGGUAUAAUGUAAAUUACUUCUUCUCCGUUUUCCAUCAUUGAAUUACUCUUUUUAUCUUCUUCUCAAGUGUUUGAUUGGUAGUAGAGAUGGACAACUCUUUCUUUUUUGUCUCUAUCGCAUAAAAAAUAGACUGCUGCCUUCUCUGGUGUCGGAAAGAGCUUGGACACUACACUCUACAACACAAAUUCAAGUGCAGGGGCAGAUUUCCUUGCCCCUUUUGUAACAAUCACAAUAGG
Solanum tuberosum (potato) is the source of this 756-nucleotide long non-coding RNA. RefSeq lists it as uncharacterized. The transcript is spliced from 2 exons. NCBI's taxonomy places the organism in Eukaryota, Viridiplantae, Streptophyta, Magnoliopsida, Solanales, Solanaceae. The record is from RefSeq and is a predicted model, not a curated record.